RNAcentral lists this transfer RNA (82 nucleotides) under Toxocara canis (dog roundworm). It matches the Rfam family "tRNA". From Rfam's summary of the family: Transfer RNA (tRNA) molecules are approximately 80 nucleotides in length. Their secondary structure includes four short double-helical elements and three loops (D, anti-codon, and T loops). The record is from Rfam by way of RNAcentral. Lineage: Eukaryota; Metazoa; Nematoda; Chromadorea; Rhabditida; Toxocaridae.
GAUCAGGUUGCCGAGUGGUUAAGGCUAUGGACUGCUAAUCCAUUGGGGUUUCCCCGCGUGAGUUCGAAUCUCAUCUUGAUCG